This 481-nucleotide ribosomal RNA is filed under the name uncultured bacterium. RNAcentral's name for it is "partial 16S ribosomal RNA". It matches the Rfam family "Bacterial small subunit ribosomal RNA", at positions 28 to 507 of the family's 1533-position model. The record is from RNAcentral.
GACGAACGCUGGCGGCGUGCUUAACACAUGCAAGUCGAACGCUGAAGCUCAGCUUGCUGGGUGGAUGAGUGGCGAACGGGUGAGUAACACGUGAGUAACCUGCCCCCUUCUUUGGGAUAACGCCCGGAAACGGGUGCUAAUACUGGAUAUUCACUGAUCUUCGCAUGGGGGUUGGUGGAAAGGUUUUUUCUGGUGGGGGAUGGGCUCGCGGCCUAUCAGCUUGUUGGUGGGGUGAUGGCCUACCAAGGCUUUGACGGGUAGCCGGCCUGAGAGGGUGACCGGUCACAUUGGGACUGAGAUCCGGCCCAGACUCCUACGGGAGGCAGCAGUGGGGAAUAUUGCACAAUGGGCGAAAGCCUGAUGCAGCGACGCCGCGUGAGGGAUGGAGGCCUUCGGGUUGUAAACCUCUUUCGCUCAUGGUCAAGCCGCAACAUUGGUUGUGGUGAGGGUAGUGGGUAAAGAAGCGCCGGCUAACUACGUG